This 1863-nucleotide ribosomal RNA is filed under the name Triticum aestivum (bread wheat). RNAcentral describes it as "partial small subunit ribosomal RNA". The record is from RNAcentral. Lineage: Eukaryota; Viridiplantae; Streptophyta; Magnoliopsida; Poales; Poaceae.
AUGAAAGGGUUCGACGAGGGCUGGAGGAGCCAGAUUGAAUCGUUUACGCAGAAGGGUAGUGUUGGUAUUAAAGUGAAUGACGACAUUGGUCAUUACUUCCAGACACACAAGGGCUUGCGGCAAGGUGAUCCGAUGUCCCCUAUUCUGUUCAACAUAGUGGUGGACAUGUUGGCAGUUCUGAUAGGGAGAGCCAAGGAGGCAGGCCAAGUUGGAGGCUUGGUGCCUCAUUUAGUGAAUGGAGGUAUUUCCAUCCUGCAGUACGCUGAUGACACUAUCAUCUUCAUGGAGCAUGACUUGGUAAAAGCAAGAAAUAUGAAGCUGUUGCUUUGUUUGUUUGAGCAAUUGAGUGGGCUCAAAAUUAACUUCCAUAAAAGUGAGUUGUUCUGCUUUGGUAGAGCCAAAGAGGAACAAGAAGCCUAUAAACAAUUGUUUGGGUGUGGUUUGGGGGAGUUACCAUUCACAUACCUAGGGAUUCCAAUACAUCACCGUAGGCUUACGAACAAUGAAUGGAAGUGUAUUGAAGAUCGAUUUGAGAAAAAGCUAAGCUGUUGGAAGGGUAAGCUAAUGUCAUAUGGAGGCCGGUUAAUUCUUAUUAAUUCGGUGUUGACGAGUAUGCCCAUGUUCCUUUUGUCUUUUUUUGAAGUACCGGUUGGGGUAAGGAAAAGACUGGACUUCUAUCGAUCGCGGUUCUUUUGGCAGGGAGAUGAGCUAAAAAGAAAAUACCGGUUAGCGAAGUGGGAUAUCAUUUGUAGGCCGAAAGACCAAGGGGGUAUGGGGAUUGAAAAUCUCGAGGUCAAGAACCGAUGCCUUCUUAGUAAGUGGUUAUGGAAGUUAGCUUCAGCAACUGAAGCCACUUGGGCUCAAAUCCUUCGUAAUAAGUAUCUUCAAACCAAAACUUUGUCUCAGGUCACGGUUAGACCGACUGAUUCACCCUUUUGGAAAGGGCUAAUGAAAGUUAAGCUUUCAUUCUUUCAGAGGGCAAAGCAUGUUGUUGGAAAUGGUGCCAGCACAAGAUUCUGGGAGGAUUGUUGGCUCGGUGAUACGCCCCUUGCAAUCCAGUAUCCGGCGUUGUAUCGUGUUGUACAAAGGCGUGAUACUCUGGUUGCAACAGUCUUUCGUUCCAUUCCACUUAAUAUUCAAUUUAGAAGAUCGUUAGUGGGCAAUCGUUGGGAACAGUGGCUGCAUCUAGUUAGGAGACUGAUGCAGGUCCAGCUUUCACAACAACCUGAUAAACUGCGCUGGAAUCUCACUAGGUCGGGGGAAUUCACAGUUAAAUCCAUGUAUGUUGCUGUUAUCAACUCCAGCUCGAUUCCUACUUCCAAGCAUGUGUGGGAUGUCAAAGUUCCUUUGAAGAUUAAGGUGUUUAUGUGGUUUCUUCAUAAACAAGUCAUCUUAACAAAGGAUAAUUUAAAAAAGCGCAAUUGGACAGGUCCUACUAGGUGUAGUUUCUGUGAUCAGGGUGAAACCAUUAAGCAUUUAUUCCUUGAGUGCCCACUAGCUAGAAUUCUUUGGACAACUGUUCAUGUUGCUUUCAAUAUUACUCCACCAAAUUCGGUGAAUAUGAUGUUUGGAGCUUGGCUUAAUAGGGUAGAGCCCGGGUUAGCUAAACAUAUUUGCGUGGGGGUGUGCGCCUUAGUGUGGGCACUGUGGAAUUGCAGAAAUGAUCUUGUUUUUAACAGAACAACAAAAACUCAUGUUUUGCAGGUUAUCUUCAGAGCCACGGCACUUAUCCGUUCCUGGUCGCUACUCACUCCGACGGAGGCCAGGGAGCGUUUGGUUACUGGUGCUAUCCGAUGGGAGACGGUAGCUCGGGAUAUCUUCAGCCGGUUUGGAUGGCGGUCAUGUAAUAGGAUAGGCAAUUAG